RNAcentral lists this ribosomal RNA (580 nucleotides) under Naganishia albidosimilis. RNAcentral describes it as "eukaryotic LSU rRNA". The stretch from base 144 to 297 matches the Rfam family "5.8S ribosomal RNA". The record is from RNAcentral. Lineage: Eukaryota; Fungi; Basidiomycota; Tremellomycetes; Filobasidiales; Filobasidiaceae.
CUGUCGAGCUUGCUCACAGACUUAUCAUAUCCAUAACACCUGUGCACUUGUCGGAUGGCUUAGUGAAGACCGCAAGGUUGGAACUAUCCAUCUACUUUACAUAACAAUUUAGUAACAAAUGUAGUCUUAUUAUAACAUAAUAAAACUUUCAACAACGGAUCUCUUGGCUCUCGCAUCGAUGAAGAACGCAGCGAAAUGCGAUAAGUAAUGUGAAUUGCAGAAUUCAGUGAAUCAUCGAAUCUUUGAACGCACCUUGCGCUCCCUGGUAUUCCGGGGAGCAUGCCUGUUUGAGUGUCAUGAAAACCCUCAACCUUAGAUUGGUUAACACCUUUCUUUGGCUUGGAUUUGGACGUUUGCCGAUGAUAAGUCGGCUCGUCUUAAAAGUAAUAGCUGGAUCUGUCUCGCGACAUGGUUUGACUUGGCGUAAUAAGUAUUUCGCUAAGGACAUCUUCGGAUGGCCGCGUUGCAAGACUAAAGACCGCUUUCUAAUCCAUUGAUCUUCGGAUUAAUAUUCUUGACAUCUGGCCUCAAAUCAGGUAGGACUACCCGCUGAACUUAAGCAUAUCAAUAAGCGGAGGAA